CAUGAAGGCUACAAUUGAAAAUAAAGAUUCUGUUCUGAAUACAGCCACCAAAAUGAAGGAUGCACAAACAUCCACACCAGAACAAGACUUAGAAAUGUCAUCAGAGGGAGAGCAAAAGAGGCUUGAAAAAUAUGAAAAUAACCAGCCACAGCUUCAAGAAAUACAGGAUCAACUUACAGCUACUAUAAGAUGUACUAAGGAGAUGGAAGGCUUGAAGUAGAAAAUGCCAUGAUGAUAAAAACUAUUAUAAAACAGGAUGACCAAAUUGAGCGGCUUGAGAAAAUCCUGCAGCGUUCAAGUUUGGUAAGCCGAUCUCUUAAUUUCUGUCAUACUGAAAAGGAAUUUUAUUUUCCAGUAGGACGGGUUAAAUAUCCCUUGUCCAAAAUGCUUGGGACCAAAAGUAGAUUUUUUUCAGAUUUUGGAAUAUUUGUAUAUACCUAAUGAAAUAUCUUGGGGAUGGUACCUGAGUCUAAACAUGAAAUUCAUUUAUGUUUCAUAUAUACCUUAUGCACAUAGCCUGAAGGUAAUUCUCUACAAUGUUUUACAGUAAUUUUUUGCAGGUAACAAAGUUUUUACUAUUUUCACCAGAGCCUGUCACAUGAGGUCAGGUGUGGAACAUUGCAGCUGUGGUGUCAUGUCCGUGCUCAAAAAGUUUCAGAUUGUAGAGCAUUUUGGAUUUCAGAUUUCUAGAUUAGGGAUGAUCAAUCUACAGUACAGAUGCUCCUUGACUUACAGUGGGUUUACAUGAUAAUGUCUCUUGUUUGACUGAAACAUUAUAAGUAAUAUUUGCUUUAUUUCAGAUGCCACAGGUGUUCAAGAGCUAGAUGAAGGUAUAUUGCCAAAAUUUAUGAAUUAAAUUCAAAUCAUUGAUUUCUGCAAUAAACUCUAGUGAACGGUAUUCCUCUCAAUUGCUUGGUUAAUAAAUGCUACAUUAAAUAUUUUUUCUUACACACAUCUAGUGAAAGAUGUGAAAACAUAAACAUUCAUAGUGAAGAGUAUACUUAUGCUAUGUUAAUUCAUCAUGUUCCAUAGCUUUAAAAAAAUUGCAAGAAGUCUGUGUAUCCCCUUUUUUCUGGCCCUACACUUUUCUUCUGCCACCCCUAUAGAACUGUCAGCCUGCACACUGAAACUGUUCUCAGAAAACAAAGGCAUUAUCAACUUCUCAAGGUUAAGGUAGUGAUUUAAGGCUAACAGACCCCACACUCAUGUGAUAAUAAUUAGUUAAGCAAUUACAGGUCACAAGCAGUCACUUGUCCAGUGACAUUUUAAAUCUCUAGUCAUGACUUUGUCAUUGGUUUACUUUUGCCCCUGGGAAAAGUUGAAAAUUCCUUAGCAUGGAAUCAAAACUCUCACAUCAGUGUGGUACUUGUCAGAUUAUUCAGCCUUCUCUUUCACCACUUACCAUACUCUGCACCUUUGUUCUAUCAUCCAGCCAAACUAGACUACAUGGAGCUCCACAGUGAUCGUCUUCACCUCCAGCUCUUUGCAUUUACUUCUUCCCUCUAUCCUACAUGUGUUUUCCUUCCCUUUCAGAUAUCAACCUAUGAAUUGCCUCUACCAAAAAGCCUACAAUAUUGACACAAACCUAGGCUAGUAUCCCUUCUAUGUCUUCCAAUAAGUGCUGUCUUAUGCCUGUCAUUGUAUGUAUGACUCUGUAUGGGAAUUGCCUGUUUGUUUUUUCAGAUUAUAGCAUACAGUUGUUGAGGGGUGGACCAUAUCAUCUUUUUCUUGUAAUUCCAGUGCUUGUCCUAGUACCUUAGCACAUGGUUGCUGAAUACAUGAAUGAAGAGUGAGAAACCAGAAGCUCUGAUAUUUAACUGCUGUGAUAAUGAAUUCAGUGUGCAACUAUGGGCAAAUUAUAUUUAAUAGUAAUUGCAUAUUGUACAUAUUUUUCAUUCUUAUUAACACUGAUAAACUUUUCAACUUAUACUGACUUUAAUAAAAUUGUAUUACUAGGCUAUUAACAUGAUAUUUUGUUUCC
RNAcentral lists this long non-coding RNA (1981 nucleotides) under Pan troglodytes (chimpanzee). RNAcentral's name for it is "long non-coding RNA NONPTRT010195". Lineage: Eukaryota; Metazoa; Chordata; Mammalia; Primates; Hominidae. The record is from RNAcentral.